AGAGAUGUGUGAUGACGCAUAUCAAUAAGCGGAGGAAAAGAAACUAACAAGGAUUCCCUUAGUAACGGCGAGUGAAGCGGGAAGAGCUCAAAUUUGAAAUCUUCAAGGUUCUACCUUGACGAGUUGUAGUUUAUAGAAGUGUUUUCUGUUAGUAGAGUGGCAAAAGUUCUUUGGAAUAGGACAUCAUAGUGGGUGAGAAUCCCGUAUUUGGUCAUUCUUUCUAGCUUUGUGAUACACUUUCAACGAGUCGGAUUGUUUGGGAAUGCAGUCCAAAAUGGGUGGUAAAUUUCAUCUAAAGCUAAAUAUUGGCGAGAGACCGAUAGCGAACAAGUACCGUGAGGGAAAGAUGAAAAGAACUUUGAAAAGAGAGUUAAACAGUACGUGAAAUUGUCAAAAGGGAAGCGUUUGACACCAGUGUUGUUUUUCCGAAAAUCAAUUACGAAUGUUUUAGUUUUUAAGAAGUUAUGACUUCAUCGGCUUGCUUCUCUCUUUAUGAAACUUUCUUAAUGCACUUUUCGGUUAACAAGUCAACAUCAAUUUCUUUUGUUGUAAAAGGGUAUGAGGAAGGUGGCUUUCUUUUCGGAGAAAGUGUUUAUAGCCUUGUACCUCUGCAAUCGGAGAGAUUGAGGUCUGCAGCGUAGAUCCUUCGGGGUUAGAUACAUUUGUGCUAAGUUAUAGCUUUUCAUAGACAACUUGUUGACUAUGUUAAGUCUUGUAGCUUACUCGCUUAUGCUAUUUUACCUACGCUUAGGAUGUUGAAGAUGUAGCACAUCA
Molecule: ribosomal RNA, 774 nt
Filed under: uncultured Neocallimastigales
Lineage: Eukaryota; Fungi; Neocallimastigomycota; Neocallimastigomycetes; Neocallimastigales
Description: partial large subunit ribosomal RNA
Rfam family: Eukaryotic large subunit ribosomal RNA
Source: RNAcentral